Long non-coding RNA from Triticum aestivum (bread wheat), 1362 nucleotides. RefSeq lists it as uncharacterized. The transcript has 5 exons. NCBI's taxonomy places the organism in Eukaryota, Viridiplantae, Streptophyta, Magnoliopsida, Poales, Poaceae. The record is from RefSeq and is a predicted model, not a curated record.
UUUUCUUUUUUGAGGGGCAUGGCGAUGUGGGCCGGCCCAUGAGCUAAACACAAACAAACGGGGAAAAGAUAGCACUCGGGGAUCGACAGGGCGGAGAGCGUAGGUGGAGAGGAGGGCAGAUCGACGCAGACCGGGUGGCGCGGCUGCGGCUCGAUCUGAGGAGCAUGAGAAACAACAGAGAAGAGAACAGAGGCAAGGCAAGCGCUCAGAUGGACUGGCGGCUCUUCUGAAAUUUGUGAGAGUGGCGGACGAUAUCUCAUUGGAAGCUACAACUUUCUGGUUUGGACACCAAAAUAAUUAACGAAACAGGGCUACAGCGUUGCUCUUCCUGAAAAGUUGCAAACUGGAAAGUAGAACAUGUACCGUAUUCGCAGAUCUGCAGAGUCACCUCUGUGCUUUGUCAACAGAUUUCCUGGCACCUUAGACAUUGGAGCGCUGCAUGAUAAUUUUGAGUUUGUAUAUUCACAAUCACUUGAACAUGUGAACUUCCAUUUCUUUGAAAGAUGGAAUUUUCUGGACAAUAAUUGAAAGGCAGAGUUUAGCAGAGCAAUUGUCAGUUCUUUGUAUACUGAGAAAGCUCUCACACAGUCGAGCAAUUUGAUCUUUAUGAUGCCAAGAGAACCUACAGAUCAGUAGAUCAUUCUCACAGAGGAUCUGCUUCAGAGUACAUCGAUAGAGGUAACACCCCGGCCAGAAAACCUUUUCAUGUUUGCUACAGUGCAUUCUACUCCUCACUGCUGGCAGUGGAAUGGAGCAAAACACUAUGUUGUGAGGUGAGCAAAACACAGAGUGCUGUGCAUAUUCAUGAAUAAUAAGAACACUAUAGCAACGUGUAGAAACAUGAACUGAAUUAGUAUUUUUAUGUGAAUUUAUAGAUGUUGUUGGCCUAAUUACUGCAGUUGCUGAGAUCGCACCACCAUAAUCUAAACUAACAACAGAGACGGCAAAUUUACAUCACCGCCCGUCGAAAAAAAUAUUACGUCACUGGUGGAAGGUAAAAUUCCAUGGAAGCAUCAUUCGAGCCACCUUUCAGAAAACACAAGAAGAUGCAUUGUCUCACACCUAACAAACGGACUACUUACUGCAUUUAUUCUCAUUAGCAUCUGCAAAUGUAUGUGGUUUACGAUGUCUCAUUUCAAUUGGGAUGUUAAUAUUUGGUAUACACCAGGAGGUGUAUUAUUACGCUAAGAUAAACAACGGCCUACUAAUUCUAAAUAUGGUAUAUUUUUAAUUAAAAAAUGGAUUUGAUGUGUAAUCUACUAUUUAAUUGUUUUAGCUAGAAUCCGUUCUAAUGCAGGGUCUUUGAUUUGUUUUUAUUCCUUAUUCAGGACAUAUUUGUAAGCAUGUUGCUCCUGACUUUGA